AUUGAACGCUGGCGGCAGGCUUAACACAUGCAAGUCGAGCGGGGGAAGGUAGCUUGCUACCGGACCUAGCGGCGGACGGGUGAGUAAUGCUUAGGAAUCUGCCUAUUAGUGGGGGACAACAUCUCGAAAGGGAUGCUAAUACCGCAUACGUCCUACGGGAGAAAGCAGGGGAUCUUCGGACCUUGCGCUAAUAGAUGAGCCUAAGUCGGAUUAGCUAGUUGGUGGGGUAAAGGCCUACCAAGGCGACGAUCUGUAGCGGGUCUGAGAGGAUGAUCCGCCACACUGGGACUGAGACACGGCCCAGACUCCUACGGGAGGCAGCAGUGGGGAAUAUUGGACAAUGGGAGGAACCCUGAUCCAGCCAUGCCGCGUGUGUGAAGAAGGCCUUAUGGUUGUAAAGCACUUUAAGCGAGGAGGAGGCUACUCUAGUUAAUACCUAGGGAUAGUGGACGUUACUCGCAGAAUAAGCACCGGCUAACUCUGUGACAGCAGCCGCAGUAA
Molecule: ribosomal RNA, 501 nt
Filed under: uncultured bacterium
Lineage: Bacteria
Description: partial 16S ribosomal RNA
Rfam family: Bacterial small subunit ribosomal RNA
Source: RNAcentral